This 19-nucleotide small nuclear RNA is filed under the name Arabidopsis thaliana (thale cress). RNAcentral describes it as "snRNA_15098". The record is from RNAcentral. Lineage: Eukaryota; Viridiplantae; Streptophyta; Magnoliopsida; Brassicales; Brassicaceae.
GCGCGAAGCUACCGUGCGC